AUGCUUGCUGACCGCCUGCCAAAGGAGCACUUGGGCAGUUUACCCAUGCCUGGAACAUCUAUCAUCGGAGUCGUCGUGUGGCGAAGACCCCAUGCCUCAUCUAGGGUACCCAGCAGGCAAGAUGGCUCCAAGAGGCAGGCCACAACUUCCAGUUUGCCCAUGACUUCCAAGCCAUCAUCUCGCUCUUCCAGUGCUUGUCAUCAACAUGCUGUAACCCCUGACGUUCCUCCAGGCUUUGGUUUUGGUUCUGGUGAUGUUAGGGAUGAUGAUCAUCUACCUGAAUACUACAUUUUUAUUAGCGUCUCAAACUCAUCUACCGCACACUUCUGUCCCGAUAGAAGACCGAGCGAGGGAAUUGGUUCGCAAGUACGGUGA
This 375-nucleotide ribosomal RNA is filed under the name Triticum aestivum (bread wheat). RNAcentral describes it as "partial small subunit ribosomal RNA". Lineage: Eukaryota; Viridiplantae; Streptophyta; Magnoliopsida; Poales; Poaceae. The record is from RNAcentral.